GUCCCAGUAGCUCAAUCGGAUAGAGCAUCCCCCUCCUAAGGGGAAGGUUGGAGGUUCGACCCCUCUCUGGGACGCCA
Molecule: transfer RNA, 77 nt
Filed under: Pseudomonas sp.
Lineage: Bacteria; Pseudomonadati; Pseudomonadota; Gammaproteobacteria; Pseudomonadales; Pseudomonadaceae
Also listed under: 17 other names
Description: tRNA-Arg(cct)
Rfam family: tRNA
About the family: Transfer RNA (tRNA) molecules are approximately 80 nucleotides in length. Their secondary structure includes four short double-helical elements and three loops (D, anti-codon, and T loops). Further hydrogen bonds mediate the characteristic L-shaped molecular structure. tRNAs have two regions of fundamental functional importance: the anti-codon, which is responsible for specific mRNA codon recognition, and the 3' end, to which the tRNAs corresponding amino acid is attached (by aminoacyl-tRNA synthetases). tRNAs cope with the degeneracy of the genetic code in two manners: having more than one tRNA (with a specific anti-codon) for a particular amino acid; and 'wobble' base-pairing, i.e. permitting non-standard base-pairing at the 3rd anti-codon position.
Source: RNAcentral